Molecule: ribosomal RNA, 486 nt
Filed under: Phylloscopus collybita (eurasian chiffchaff)
Lineage: Eukaryota; Metazoa; Chordata; Aves; Passeriformes; Phylloscopidae
Also listed under: 1 other name
Description: partial 16S ribosomal RNA
Rfam family: Bacterial large subunit ribosomal RNA
Source: RNAcentral
UUUAACGGCCGCGGUAUCCUAACCGUGCAAAGGUAGCGCAAUCAAUUGUCCCGUAAAUCGGGACUUGUAUGAAUGGCUAAACGAGGUCUUAACUGUCUCUUACAGGCAAUCGGUGAAAUUGAUCUCCCUGUGCGAAAGCAGGGAUGCACACAUAAGACGAGAAGACCCUGUGGAACUUCAAAAACAGCGACCACCCCAAAAUACAUCUACCCCCACCCCGGGCUCACUUAUCCCACGGGCUACUGGUUCGCAUUUUUUCGGUUGGGGCGACCUUGGAGCAAAACAGAACCUCCAAAAAUUAGACCAAACCUCUAGACUGAGAGCAACACCUCUACGUGCUAAUAGCACCCAGACCCAAUAUAAUUGAUCAAUGGACCAAGCUACCCCAGGGAUAACAGCGCAAUCUCCUCCGAGAGUCCAUAUCGACGAGGAGGUUUACGACCUCGAUGUUGGAUCAGGACAUCCUAGUGGUGCAGCCGCUACUAA